This is a non-coding RNA of Dothidotthia symphoricarpi CBS 119687, 88 nucleotides long. NCBI's taxonomy places the organism in Eukaryota, Fungi, Ascomycota, Dothideomycetes, Pleosporales, Dothidotthiaceae. The record is from the annotation of a RefSeq genome assembly.
GGCCGGUUGGCGCAAUGGUAGCGCGUAGCCCUCCUAAGCAUCUGCUACGGUAAGGCUGAGGCUGUGGGUUCGAGUCCCACAUUGGUCG